CGAAAUGCGAUAAGUAAUGUGAAUUGCAGAAUUCCGUGAAUCAUCGAAUCUUUGAACGCACAUUGCGCCCUCUGGUAUUCCGGGGGGCAUGCCUGUCCGAGCGUCAUUGCGAACCCUCAAGCACGGCUUGUGUGAUGGGCCCUCCCGCGUCUUGGUCGUCAAGACGGGCCCGAAAAGCAGUGGCGGCUUCGCGGUUAUCCGAUCAGCCAGAGCGUAUGGGGACUUUCUCUCUGUCACACGCCCGCGGCGCGGACCGACGCCUGUCGACCUUUAUUCAUCUUUUUCUCGGUUGACCUCGGAUCAGGUAGGGAUACCCGCUGAACUUAAGC
RNAcentral lists this unclassified non-coding RNA (329 nucleotides) under plant metagenome. Its description in RNAcentral is "partial contains 5.8S ribosomal RNA, internal transcribed spacer 2, and large subunit ribosomal RNA". The stretch from base 1 to 106 matches the Rfam family "5.8S ribosomal RNA", at positions 49 to 154 of the family's 154-position model. The record is from RNAcentral.